CGGUAGAUGAGGCGACCUACUGAUUUGGGAUCAGAGGGUCGUAGGUUCGAAUCCUAUCGCUCCGACCA
This 68-nucleotide transfer RNA is filed under the name Ralstonia mannitolilytica. Its description in RNAcentral is "tRNA-Pro". The record is from RNAcentral. Lineage: Bacteria; Pseudomonadati; Pseudomonadota; Betaproteobacteria; Burkholderiales; Burkholderiaceae.